AAGUAAUGGAAUCUUUGAGGCAAAAGUAAGACACUAGAGAGGAACUCGAAUCUGCAAAGGACACUGGGAAAGAUGACAAAAGUAAGACCUAGAGAAGCCUCCAAAACAAGUCAGGAACAGUGGAGCCCGGAGCUGAAGCUGGUCUCAUUCCACAAGAUGCCUGCUGAGUGACCCUUUCCUGACGGUAAUCAGAGGCUGCUUGCAGCUCCAAGCGUCUUCUCAAAUAACCAUGAUGCUUGUAUGUUAUUUGGGAGAUUCUUUCAGAUGAAGGAAGGACCUGUAGUAAUCCAAAAUAGAGGUCAUCUUGUAUUCUUCACACAUUUCCAAUGACUAAUUCUCAUUGGACCAGUGACCAAUUCUGACAACAGCACCUUGGGACAC
This is a long non-coding RNA of Neofelis nebulosa (Clouded leopard), 381 nucleotides long. RefSeq lists it as uncharacterized. Lineage: Eukaryota; Metazoa; Chordata; Mammalia; Carnivora; Felidae. The transcript is spliced from 3 exons. The record is from RefSeq and is a predicted model, not a curated record.